UACGAAGGGUGCAAGCGUUGUUCGGAAUUACUGGGCGUAAAGGGUACGUAGGCGGACAUAUUAGUCAGGAGUGAAAUCCCGGGGCUCAACCUCGGAACUGCUUUUGAAACGGUAUGUCUAGAGUGUGAUAGGGGACAAUGGAAUACCCAGUGUAGAGGUGAAAUUCGUAGAUAUUGGGUGGAACACCGGAGGCGAAGGCGAUUGUCUGGGUCACAACUGACGCUAAGGUACGAAAGCGUGGGGAUCAAACAGG
RNAcentral lists this ribosomal RNA (253 nucleotides) under uncultured bacterium. RNAcentral's name for it is "partial 16S ribosomal RNA". It matches the Rfam family "Bacterial small subunit ribosomal RNA", at positions 524 to 776 of the family's 1533-position model. The record is from RNAcentral.